CAUGCAAGUCGAACGGUAACAGGAAGCAGCUUGCUGUUUCGCUGACGAGUGGCGGACGGGUGAGUAAUGUCUGGGAAACUGCCUGAUGGAGGGGGAUAACUACUGGAAACGGUAGCUAAUACCGCAUAACGUCGCAAGACCAAAGAGGGGGACCUUCGGGCCUCUUGCCAUCGGAUGUGCCCAGAUGGGAUUAGCUAGUAGGUGGGGUAACGGCUCACCUAGGCGACGAUCCCUAGCUGGUCUGAGAGGAUGACCAGCCACACUGGAACUGAGACACGGUCCAGACUCCUACGGGAGGCAGCAGUGGGGAAUAUUGCACAAUGGGCGCAAGCCUGAUGCAGCCAUGCCGCGUGUAUGAAGAAGGCCUUCGGGUUGUAAAGUACUUUCAGCGGGGAGGAA
RNAcentral lists this ribosomal RNA (399 nucleotides) under Shigella flexneri. RNAcentral describes it as "bacterial SSU rRNA". It matches the Rfam family "Bacterial small subunit ribosomal RNA", at positions 54 to 449 of the family's 1533-position model. Lineage: Bacteria; Pseudomonadati; Pseudomonadota; Gammaproteobacteria; Enterobacterales; Enterobacteriaceae. RNAcentral also lists the same sequence under 1 other name. The record is from RNAcentral.